This 484-nucleotide ribosomal RNA is filed under the name uncultured bacterium. RNAcentral's name for it is "partial 16S ribosomal RNA". It matches the Rfam family "Bacterial small subunit ribosomal RNA", at positions 30 to 507 of the family's 1533-position model. The record is from RNAcentral.
AUUGAACGCUGGCGGCAGGCCUAACACAUGCAAGUCGAGCGGAUGAAGGGAGCUUGCUCCUGGAUUCAGCGGCGGACGGGUGAGUAAUUCCUAGGAAUCUGCCUGGUAUUGGGGGAUAACGUCCGGAAACGGGCGCUAAUACCGCAUACGUCCUGAGGGAGAAAGUGGGGGAUCUUCGGACCUCACGCUAUCAGAUGAGCCUAGGUCGGAUUAGCUAGUUGGUUGGGUAAAGGCCUACCAAGGCGACGAUCCGUAACUGGUCUGAGAGGAUGAUCAGUCACACUGGAACUGAGACACGGUCCAGACUCCUACGGGAGGCAGCAGUGGGGAAUAUUGGACAAUGGGCGAAAGCCUGAUCCAGCCAUGCCGCGUGUGUGAAGAAGGUCUUCGGAUUGUAAAGCACUUUAAGUUGGGAGGAAGGGCAGUAAGUUAAUACCUUGCUGUUUUGACGUUACCAACAGAAUAAGCACCGGCUAACUUCGUG